This 433-nucleotide ribosomal RNA is filed under the name uncultured bacterium. Its description in RNAcentral is "partial 16S ribosomal RNA". It matches the Rfam family "Bacterial small subunit ribosomal RNA", at positions 29 to 507 of the family's 1533-position model. The record is from RNAcentral.
AACGAACGCUGGCGGCAUGCCUAACACAUGCAAGUCGAACGAGACCUUCGGGUCUAGUGGCGCACGGGUGCGUAACGCGUGGGAACCUGCCCUUAGGUUCGGAAUAACUCCCCGAAAGGGGUGCUAAUACCGGAUAAUUUCUUCGGACCAAAGAUUUAUCGCCUUUGGAUGGGCCCGCGUUGGAUUAGCUAGUUGGUAGGGUAAAAGCCUACCAAGGCGACGAUCCAUAGCUGGUCUGAGAGGAUGAGCAGCCACACUGGGACUGAGACACGGCCCAGAAUCCUACGGGAAGCAGCAGUGGGGAAUAUUGGACAAUGGGCGAAAGCCUGAGCCAGCAAUGCCGCGUGAGUGAUGAAGGCCUUAGGGUUGUAAAGCUCUUUUACCCGGGAUGAUAAUGACAGUACCGGGAGAAUAAGCUCCGGCUAACUCCGUG